This 82-nucleotide transfer RNA is filed under the name Pseudomonas sp. LTGT-11-2Z. RNAcentral describes it as "tRNA-Thr". Lineage: Bacteria; Pseudomonadati; Pseudomonadota; Gammaproteobacteria; Pseudomonadales; Pseudomonadaceae. The record is from RNAcentral.
GCGGGGCUUAUCCUUUAAUUGCUGGGCGUGAUAACGCACUCGUAACGCGAAGGUCGCAGGUUCGAUUCCUGUCUCCGCACCA